ACAGCAAGCUUGCUUGCUGUGUCGUGACUGCGUGCCUUUUGAAGAAUGAGCCUGCGAGUUUGCGGCAUGUUGCGAGGUUAACCCGUGUGGGGGAGCCGUAGCGAAAGCGAGUCCGAAGAGGGCGAUCUGAGUAGCGUGUUCAAGACCCGAAGCGGAGUGAUCUAGCCAUGGGCAGGGUGAAGCGGAGGUAAGACUUCGUGGAGGCCCGAACCCACCAGGGUUGAAAACCUGGGGGAUGACCUGUGGUUAGGGG
This 253-nucleotide ribosomal RNA is filed under the name Streptomyces hazeniae. RNAcentral's name for it is "Streptomyces sp. DSM 42041 partial 23S ribosomal RNA". It matches the Rfam family "Bacterial large subunit ribosomal RNA", at positions 570 to 821 of the family's 2925-position model. Lineage: Bacteria; Bacillati; Actinomycetota; Actinomycetes; Kitasatosporales; Streptomycetaceae. The record is from RNAcentral.